UGAAAAUAUUUCCAGGUAAUCACUUCUGCUGAAUCAGCUUAAAUGCCUGCAUUAUAUUCUACUGGAUGGAUGGAUUAGAUGGAUGAAUGAGGGAUUAACCAAUCACUUACUAUUAGACAUUUAUAUUUUUAUAGUUAUUUGUCUUUUUUAACAUGAUUCAGUGAACACUGCAGACUGGCCUAAUUAUCCUCUCAGAAUACAUUCUUAGAAGCAGACUUUCUGGAUCAAAGAGAAGCACAAUUUUAAGGCUUUUGAUUCACAUUCCAAAUUGCCUUUACAGAAAGAUUGUACUUUUACUCUUGCCAGUAGUAUAUAAGUGCCAGUUUUCCAACAUUCUCCUCUUUGGAAAGAAAAUCUUUUCCAUUCUAAUAUGUCGAAAUUAUGUCAAAAUAUGUCAAAAAUAAUAUUUCAUUGUUAUUUUAAUAUGCAUGUAUUUGAUUACUAGUGAGACUGAUCAUCUUUUAAUAGGAAUAGCAGGCACUGUGAGGCCUUCCAUAUCCUCCAGCUUCCACCUCUGUAGCCACUGGCUGCUUACUCAGAGGACCUGUUGAAACAGGAAAGUUCCUGACUCCCCCAACACAGGAUGUGCAACAGAGGUGUGGCUCCACUGUGUGUGCUCAAACCCCUUAUGGGAGAGGCGGCACGCAUAUGGGCAGGUACGGGAGCCAGGGCAAGCGCCCCUGGGCUCUGGCCCCACAGCAGUGUCCAGGGGUGGAAGCCUGUGACUCCCAAAGCCCAAGUGGGCGUGUGUCAUGGUGCGCUCCUUUAGCCUUGCUGUUCGUGGAUGACUUAAGUGUUAACCAGGUCAGUGCCCUCUUGGUACCCAGGUGAUUGUCCGGAGUCCAGGAAGAAUCCGGUGGCACAUGGACUUGAAGGAUGAAUGCGGGGAUUUUAUUGAGUGGUGGAGAUGGCUCUCAGCAGGAUGGAUGGGGAGCUAGAAGCAGAAUGAACUGGAAAGAUGAUCUUCUUCUGGAGGUUGGCUGUCCAGUGGCCCACCUCCUCUCCAAAUGUCCCCAGCCAAAAUCUUCUCGGCAUUCAGACGCUCCUUCUCUUCUGUCAUGCCGUGCUGCCAUUCUUCUGCUCUUCUGUUCGUCUCCUUGUGGAGCCAGGGGUUUGGGGUAUGGGUACAUGAUAGGGGGUGUGGUGGGCCAAAAGUCAACUUUUGGGUGCAAAAACAGGAAUGCCUGUUCCCAUUUAGGGCCGCAGGUUUCCAGGCUUGAGGGAGGGGCAUUUGCCAGGGAACUGCCCUCUUCUUUCCAGCAUUUCCCUGUCUCCUGUCCAGAUCACUGUGACUGCUGAGAGUGUUUCUUUGGUUUAACAGCAGGAAGAAGCGCAUGGCCCAAGAUUUCAUUCCUUGGAAUCUGCGAGGCCAAGAACCCCAGGUCAGAGAACAAGAGGCUUGCCACCAUCCCAUUUUGGAAGCGGCCCGCCGCCAUCUUGGAAGCUCUCGGAGC
RNAcentral lists this long non-coding RNA (1454 nucleotides) under Homo sapiens (human). Its description in RNAcentral is "LNC_000536". The record is from RNAcentral. Lineage: Eukaryota; Metazoa; Chordata; Mammalia; Primates; Hominidae.